CCUACGGGUGGCAGCAGUGGGGAAUAUUGCACAAUGGGGGAAACCCUGAUGCAGCGACGCCGCGUGAGUGAAGAAGUAAUUCGUUACGUAAAGCUCUAUCAGCAGGGAAGAAACACUGACCUUACGGUCAGCAGACGGUACCUGAGUAAGAAGCCCCGGCUAACUACGUGCCAGCAGCCGCGGUAAUACGUAGGGGGCAAGCGUUAUCCGGAUGUACUGGGUGGAAAGGGAGCGGAGACGGUGCGCCAAGUCUGGAGUGAAAUGCCGCAGCUUAACUGCGGAACUGCUUUGGAAACUGGCGAACUAGAGUGCGGGAGGGGUAAGCGGAAUUCCUAGUGUAGCGGUGAAAUGCGUAGAUAUUAGGAGGAACACCGGUGGCGAGGGCGGCUUACUGGACCGUAACUGACGUUGAGGCUCGAAAGCGUGGGGAGCAAACAGGAUUAGAUACCCGGGUAGUC
RNAcentral lists this ribosomal RNA (458 nucleotides) under uncultured bacterium. RNAcentral's name for it is "partial 16S ribosomal RNA". It matches the Rfam family "Bacterial small subunit ribosomal RNA", at positions 338 to 795 of the family's 1533-position model. The record is from RNAcentral.